RNAcentral lists this transfer RNA (95 nucleotides) under Cutibacterium granulosum. Its description in RNAcentral is "tRNA-???(cgga)". The record is from RNAcentral. Lineage: Bacteria; Bacillati; Actinomycetota; Actinomycetes; Propionibacteriales; Propionibacteriaceae.
CGCCCGCCUUGGGCGUCGUGCCCAUCCGGCGUCGGAACGUUGGCGGCCCCUGCCGUGGUGGGGGAGGCACCCGGUUCGAGUCCGGUGGGGGAGGC